AUUGAACGCUGGCGGCAGGCCUAACACAUGCAAGUCGAACGAGUGGCGGACGGGUGAGUAAUGUCUGGGAAACUGCCUGAUGGAGGGGGAUAACUACUAGAAACGGUAUCUAAUCCCGCAUACCAUCGGAUGUGCCCAGCUGGGAUUAGCUAGUAGGUGGGGUAAAGGCUCACCUAGGCGACGAUCCCUAGCUGGUCUGAGAGGAUGAACAGCCACACUGGAACUGAGACAUGGUCCAGACUCCUACGGGAGGCAGCAUGGGGGAAUAUUGCACAAUGGGCGAAAGCCUGAUGCAGCAAUGCCGCGUGUAUGAAGAAGGCCUUCGGGUUGUAAAGUACUUUCAGCGGGGAGGCGUUACCCGCAGAAGAAGCACCGGCUAACUCCGUGCCAGCAGCCGCGGUAAUUC
Molecule: ribosomal RNA, 406 nt
Filed under: uncultured bacterium
Lineage: Bacteria
Description: partial 16S ribosomal RNA
Rfam family: Bacterial small subunit ribosomal RNA
Source: RNAcentral